This 467-nucleotide ribosomal RNA is filed under the name uncultured Thermotogaceae bacterium. RNAcentral's name for it is "bacterial SSU rRNA". It matches the Rfam family "Bacterial small subunit ribosomal RNA", at positions 338 to 795 of the family's 1533-position model. The record is from RNAcentral. Lineage: Bacteria; Thermotogati; Thermotogota; Thermotogae; Thermotogales; Thermotogaceae.
CCUACGGGGGGCUGCAGUGCGGAAUUUUAGAUAAUGGAGGGAACUCUGAUCUAGCGACGCCGCGUGCAGGAAGAAGGUCUUCGGAUUGUAAACUGCUGUGGUAAGGGAAAAAUGCUAUGUAGAGUGGAAAGCUACAUAGAGGGAUGGUACCUUACUAGAAAGCCCCGGCUAACUACGUGCCAGCAGCCGCGGUAAUACGUAGGGGGCGAGCGUUACCCGGAAUCACUGGGCGUAAAGGGAGCGUAGGUGGCCUAACAUGUCAACUGUGAAAACCCGGAGCUCAACUCCGGACUUGCAGUUGAAACUGGUAGGCUUGAGGACGGUAGAGGAAGACGGAACUGCCAGUGUAGGGGUAAAAUCCUUAGAUAUUGGCAGGAACGCCGGUGACGAAGGUGGUUUUCUGGGCCGGUUCUGACACUGAUGCUCGAAAGCCAGGGGAGCGAACGGGCUUAGAUACCCCAGUAGUC